Molecule: ribosomal RNA, 374 nt
Filed under: uncultured organism
Description: partial 16S ribosomal RNA
Rfam family: Bacterial small subunit ribosomal RNA
Source: RNAcentral
GUAGGUGGCAAGCGUUGUCCGGAAUUAUUGGGCGUAAAGCGCGCGCAGGCGGUUCUUUAAGUCUGAUGUGAAAGCCCACGGCUCAACCGUGGAGGGUCAUUGGAAACUGGAGAACUUGAGUACAGAAGAGGAAAGCGGAAUUCCACGUGUAGCGGUGAAAUGCGUAGAGAUGUGGAGGAACACCAGUGGCGAAGGCGGCUUUCUGGUCUGUAACUGACGCUGAGGCGCGAAAGCGUGGGGAGCAAACAGGGAUUAGAUACCCUGGUAGUCCACGCCGUAAACGAUGAGUGCUAAGUGUUAGGGGGUUUCCGCCCCCUUAGUGCUGCAGCUAACGCAUUAAGCACUCCGCCGUGGGGAGUACGGCCGCAAGGCUG